RNAcentral lists this small RNA (101 nucleotides) under Escherichia coli. Its description in RNAcentral is "partial RtT sRNA". It matches the Rfam family "RtT RNA", at positions 1 to 99 of the family's 130-position model. From Rfam's summary of the family: This family represents a bacterial cis-regulatory element known as RtT RNA. RNAcentral also lists the same sequence under 1 other name. Lineage: Bacteria; Pseudomonadati; Pseudomonadota; Gammaproteobacteria; Enterobacterales; Enterobacteriaceae. The record is from RNAcentral.
AUUCUGCCCAAGCGGGGAAGGAUGAGAAGCUUCGACCAAGGUUCGACUUGAGCGCCAGCGAGAGAGCGUUGCCGCAGGCAACGACCCGAAGGGCGAAGCGC